UACGAGUAUACUGAAACAAUAAACUUGUACUGGUAUACAGACAAUUUAUUUAAAACAAUUUUGUUCAAAUUUUGAAUCAAACAUUGUUUUAUUAUAAUAAUGAAAUAAUUUCUACCUAGAAAACCUGCAAGCACCAUCAAAGAAAGGGACCAUAAAAUUCAAUAAACAGACUCGAGUGUAUCCUACAAAUAGACACACCACGAUUAGAAAAUAGAAUAUGAAUUCUUCCAUUUUUUAAUAUUUGUUUAAAAAAGCUAGUGCAAGUACAAUAUUUUACACUGGAAUUACAGAGAGUAUGCACGCAUAUGGAAAAAAGUUCUCCUGUCACAAUAAAAGCUCUUAACUAUUAUGUAUGCACUUAAAAUUUUCUUUUCAAUAAGGUGCAAAACAUCAUUCCUUCCCUAGUUCUCCUCUGUACUGGCCAUGUCAGUCUGGUAGUGCCCUCAACCCAAGUUCUGGUGUCUGUUUUCCCUUGGCCUGUGGGAGGCAUACGAUUGGAAGUUUGGUGGGUAAUGAUCUGAUAUUAAAACAUCCAGUAGUAUGAGUCUCAGAGAUGGCUCUGGAGCCAGGACUCCACUGGCUGGAAAUGAAGACUGUCUAAUCUGAAGGUCACCACAAAUACUGACAGGACUAUCUUGAAACCUCCUUUCGGCUGACACUAAUUUGGGUUUAGAGUUGAGCAGUUCAGGCUGGGGAGAUGAAGAAACCCCGCCAAAAAGGGCAGUAUUCACAGAACUGAAUGCACAGGUAUCAAGUUCAAAUGCACUAACUAAAGGAUCUACCCCACUCCUGGACCAGAAAACUGUAAGAGUAGGUGGUUCCUGUAAGAACCAGAGAAAACCUGUGCACCGAGCUUCUUGGUAACUGCUCUGAAGACAACAGCUUGAGCUAGUGUCGCCUAAUACUUGGUAUUCUGGAGGACAGUAUGUUAUCUUGGUAAGGAUUACUGUAAACAACACUUCCAACGAAGGCCUUCAGAUUGGCCACAGAAAAGGAGACAGGCUCGUUGGCCAUCCAGACAGCAAACAAACUAAAGGGAAAGAAAACGUGGGUGAAGCCUCCAAUGUAUCUGCAGUGGAAGACUUGAGUCCUUUCAGAUAAGAAAAGUUAUGGAAAUUCUUAGAGAUUGUUGUUAUUGUAUAGAUACUACCUAUUGGCCAAAUGCACUUAAUUUUAAUACAGUUGAACCAUUUGUAUGCAAGUCAUGGGGACAUGAAAAACUGAAGCCGGUGUUCCCUCCUGCCAUUACACAGGAGAAAGUUAGCUACCAGAACAGUUGCCUUCAACGAGAAGGGAGGGGACGAGAUUCUGAAUUUAAGAAUUGUAAGUGGGGGUGCUUAAUAUCCCCACAGCUGUCCAGUUUCCACUGUCCGGCUUGAUUUUUGGACAGGAAUACUAUUCUGAGAAGUUGCUCCGCAUUCAUUCUGGCCUCUUUAUAUUAAAUCAAAAUCAAAAUAAAACUAAAUUAAAAUGAGGCAUUUACAUUGAAAUCAUGUUUUUACCCCCCCUAUUUAAAUGAGGUGUGGGGGGAAAGAAGGUGAAAUAAUUUUUUUUUUUGUCCCCAUAAUGAGUCCUGUUUGAUUGGUAGCCUGGAUCCCUUGUUACAAACACUUCGUGUUCAAGAUUAUAUUCUUUGGGUUUAUAGGAACAGGAAGUGCUGAAAAUGUCAAACGUCAUCAUCUCUGAAGAAAAAGAAGUUGCAAUGGCUUAAGAGUUUAGACUAAGAAGGGAGCUCAGAGAAGUACUUUCAGCAUAGGAAUGAACAGUAUUCUCAAAUCGCAGAAUACCGAGUUCCCCUCCCUCAGACGAGGGCUAUGUGUAACAAAAAGAACAAUAAGCGUAAGUAUAGUUUAAGAGCCUUUUACGUAGUAAUUCUUCCAGGCCAUAACCAUACAAAUCUGAUCAUUUAGACAUGACAAAUUUCUAUAUACAAAAAAACAUGUAACUUUCAACCCUUCUCUGCUUUUUUUUUUUUUUUUUACAAACAAAGUAUGAAACUCAUUGUUUCAACAGAUCCAUAUCUUUCAAACACUGAAUGAAUCAUUUCGACAUUCAUUUUUCUUUUGUGCAAUUUUUUAAAACAUUACCUGUACUCCUCAAAGUGAGUGCUUCAAAAUUUUGUUUUCUUCAGCUUCUCAAAUCAGGUGUACAUUUAAAAAAAAAUUCCCACAAGGUAUAGUGCUACAAGAAAAGAUCCUAUCAGUAAGGUAACAUAUUUGAAGCGAGGUCAUCUAUGUAAAAGAAAUCUCAGCUCCGGAGUAGAGGUGUGCAAGUUGUUUGGAGUUUCCCUAUGCCAGAAACACAACACUGUCCGUGGAAAAGAGAGGAAACCAACCCAACACAAUAGCAGAUGCAUGUGCUUUAUAAAAAAGUAUAUUCUCUGUAUAUUUAUUACUUGAUGUGUUCUUAAAUUCUCUAUUUCAGAAAUUCUGGGUUAAAAACAAAUGUGGAAGCAAAGGCCUCCACGCCACUUAAAACAAACAAAGUGUAAUUCUCUCCUUUCAUAUCACCACUGAAGAAACCGAAUUGGGCCAUGGAGUCUGCUGGCCCUGUUUUCACCUGGUGCAAAUUGAAGUGCAAAGGGUUUCAGAAGGCAACAGACCAGUCUGUUGAGCUGCUUGUGGUUCAUGAAACAGUAGCCAUGACAACCAACACAGCUCAAGAAGCCCGGCCUUCGGUCCCGAGAGCUCUGCUUCCUCACCCAUAUCUGAAAUAGCACGGUAUUAGUGUCUUCAAAAGCAUUGGAGAUUUUUCUCUCUAUGAAAGAAAUAGGUUUCCUUAGUAGUCACAGAUGUUAAAGGGUAUUGUCAAUCGUUUCCUUAAAAAACAAAACAAAACAAAAUCCAGAGCUACAACAACAAAAAUAAAUUUUGGCAACAUAUUUCAGUAAAGAUCAAACUAUGUGCAAAGAGUGGAUUUUAUGAUUACUAGGAGCUACUGUUCAUCUUGAACAUGCAGCAUUAUAUUGCAAUCUAUGCGGUAUCUAAGGAGUAAUCCACAAGAUGCAGGAAAUCCAAACAUUCCUUGAAAUUGUACAACCCUACUCCAGAGCAGUCAAAGUGCUGCUUCUGGACACGUCAGUGUACCACACACACACCUGCCCCGUCCCUGAGAAAGAGGUGUGAAAGGUUCCGCAGAGUCCCUUUAGGGGAGAAGGAGGGAUGCUGCCACUUCCUGGUGGGGGGAAAAAAACCCAACACACUCACCUAACAGAAAACAUAGAGGCUCAUAAUUCCAAGUUAGAAAUGGGAUCGACAACAACAGAAAUCAAAUCAUCCCAAACUAAACUGGGUGAGUUAGGGAAAACGAAAAGUUGACCAACAUAGAAAAUUAUCCUGAAAGUCCAAAUGAAAAUUCAAUUUGGAUUUCCACUUUAAAAGAUCUGAGGUAAGUGGCAUCCAUCUCUGUAUCCCUCCCUCCCCCCUCUGCCCCAGUGUGGCCCAGACAAACUGAAAUAAUUCUUAAGUUAAACAUUCUAAGGAACAGUCAUUUUAUAUAUUUAGAAAUCCCUAGAAAGAGAGGUUCUUGUUUGUUGGUUUCUUAUUAAUAGUAUUAUUUUUUUUCUUUUCGCCCUGACUAAUUUCUUGGUGAUUGUGUUCCAUUGUAAACGCAAAAGGCCUGCUGUUAUUAGUUUAAAAAUGGAAAACAGGAAAGAAAGAACAAAAGACGGCUGUCGGUAAAUAUUGCAAAGUGGACAUAGUACAGAGGCACAUGGCUGAUCCUUGUAAGCUGAACGGCACCGAAGAAUUUCUACCCCUGUCAUCGUUAAUGUUUGCUACACAGAAGCGGUGACAGAGGCUGCUCUGGGAGCCUCGGGGCCCGCCAACGUCUGCAAACAGGAGGCUCCUGCCCUCUGUGCGUUCUUCCUAUUUGAAGAGAAAGCUGCCACAAGGGAGUGGUGACCGUGGGUGGCAGGUGGUCCCCUCCACAGCCACUGGCCAACACGCUCAGAACGCACACACACAACAGGCCACACUUCCCGUCCAGGCUCAGAGGCAGGGCUCCAAGUCUCAAGGACACAGACCCCGAGGAGGGGCCUGCCCACUUGCAGAAAAGACCGUGGAAAAUGGGUUGACUCCAGGCUACAUGGCUCCAGAGUGCGUCUUAGAAAUGAAUCUGCCUCCUUCCUCUCCACACUCCACAUUCACUAUUCCGUGUGGUGACAGGGGACACUGCGGUUCCUCCCCCGGGUCUCCUUGGCUGGCUCUUUCUGCAACGUGGCGGCAGACGCACGGGGCUCCUGAAGGCUCCCCGCCCCAGCACUCAGCAUCCGCAGCAGGGGAAAGGUGGGAGGCUCUCUCCCUCCUGGCUCCUUCCCUCCAGCCCUGCUCUGGCCAGAAUGGGGAAGAUCAACCAAACAAGGAAAAAGCCAAAAGGGAAUGAGCUUUAACUAUAUAGCACACUGGUCAGACUCUAUUGGCACAGAAAGUAUUGCACAUGCUAAAAAAGCAAGAGAAUGAAAUGGGACAAGUGUUUAGAAAGAACCAAUUAUUUUAUAAUUCCUAUACCUGAAAUAGAACCACAAAAAUUAUGAUGAUGUUCCUAUUGCUCCAAACCAUGUGUGUUUUCCCAUCUUAGUGUUGGUUUAGUGGAUCCAGUCGGUUCAAUGCUCGAAGUAAGCCAAAAGGUGGUGUGUGUUUUUCUGAGUCCACAUGAGUUGUAAAUAGUGAUAUUAAUGAGAACAAAGUCUAUGUGGCAGCCCGUAUUCCUCUUACCAUCAAAGGUUAAAAAACAAAAAGAAAAACAAAACCUAAUAAUUGCAAGUGCCCUGAGCAGAAUAUAUGGAAGAUUAAGCAAGUUCUCUGAACAGAAACGUUUAAAAAAUACAGCACUAAAUAAGCAGUAUGACUGCAAGAAUGAGCCCACCCAGCUCUCUGCAAGCAUGCUGAGAGGGUAAUGAAAUUCGAGGAAAGUCAAGGAACUAUUCUAGCUAUUCUAAACCUGUUCAAAUGUUUUUGGUACACCCCAGAAAACGGUUUAUAAAAAUCGUUAGUCCUGGUGAGCCCUAAAUGUAAAUGAAUACUAGACAGCCAAAAUGUGGGUUGAUACCAGAUUUUUUUUUUUUUAAUUUGUGAGACGAAGAAAGUACUAUUUUCAAUGGGGUAAAAGAAAAAUCAGGUAUUUGUUCAGUUUAGUUGCAGCCAUCCAAGUAAGAAUAUUUAAAAAUUUCUCCCUACUUAUAAAACUUUUUUUUAAAGCACUUUAAAGAUGCAUUCAAAACCCACAAAUGAUAUUUCGGAUCUCUGGGAAUGAAAGGUUUAAAAACUAUGAAAUACCCUUUCUGGGUUUGUACCAAACAUUAAAUCUCGAUUUGAUUUUGAAUAGAAAAAAAAAGCCAUUCUGAAAAUAACAUUAAUAACAACAAUAAUAAAGUAAUUGUUUAAAAAAAAUCUUGCUCACAUAUAUAAAUGUCUUUAUGGAAAACUCUCUCAAUGAAUCUGAAGAAAAUUCUCAGAGUUUCUAAGAGCCCGCUAAGACCUGGCUUUUUGUGACAGAUGUGGUAAAAAGACCAAAAUGAAUUUUCAAAGGAACAUAACCUUAUAAAAUGGCCUAGAGUUUAGGCAGGUUAGAAAGAAAUUUUGCUACAUUUAUUUAUGCUCGUUCAGUCCCCCAAACCUUUCCCACAAUGUUAUUGGAUAAAAACUGCAGGAAUAUCACACAAAUUAUAAACUCAAUAUGUGCAAAUCGCAAGGUUCUUUAAAAGUUCAUCUUAAAAAGAAAAACACUGGACAAAAAUGAGUAUUCUCUUCUCCAUCCCUUUUCUCUCAGUUUCUCUGCCAACUCUGCAUAUGCCUUGAACUGAUUCUCAGACAUCAAAGUGAAAAGUGCCUCCCGUCAGGUAGUACUUGGUGGUCAUUUAUUGUCACAUACUAGUUCAUAAUUCACAUUCAUCCCUUUAAACCACAUUGAAACUUUCAAUAUCUUGCUCUUCAGCAAUUCUGCAGAGCUGAAAUGUAGUUACAGUGUUGAAAAAAAGAAAGCAACUUAGUUUUUUUUUGUUUUGUUUUUUUUCCCCAAAGAGUUUAAAGUGAGAUACAGUACUUGUUGAAUGAGAGACCAAGAUGCUUGGUAAUAAAGUGUGAACAGUAUUUUUAAAUGCUUAAAGAUAGUAAUAUAUGCUCAUCUUCAAAAUCUAAUUCCUCAUGUCACACUGGAAUCUGAAAAAAAAAAGUGGCACCCGAGUUGUCCAUAGUCAUGAACUAUAAACAGUACUAGAGUUCAAAGACAAAAAGAUUUCGCAAACUCAACGUGAAGAGCUUCUGUUGCUCUCACUGAAGGGCAGUUUGCAUCUACCUCUUGGGAGUGAAGUCAAUGCAAUAACCUGAUUGGUUUUCCUAACACUGCACAGAAACCAGCGUGGGUGUUCGCUCUCUCCCUCUCCCCCACCCCCAACCCCCCUUACCCCAUGUGGGGCCAUGACAGCAGGGGCUUCCCUGUCCACCACAACACCCUGGUGACAUCGCUGCACUAGUAAAAAGCAGAAAUGAAAUCCCGCAUGUGGCAGUUGCUCUUUAAAAAAAAUAUAUAUCAGUGCAGUCAGGCCCCAUAGGGGGAAAUAUAUAUCUAUACAAUUAAAAGUUGCUUUUAUUGUAAAAUAUGUUGGAGAGAAAAAUGUUCUUUUAAAUGGUUAACUUUCCAAAUCUGCCAUCUGACGCGUCUCCGCGAUGCCCUGAAGCUGGGUUCCUGAUGUUGAUUUUGCACGUGGGAACCCCAGGAGGGCACUGCUCUGAACGCCCCCGGCCCAUGCCGAUAGCAAGAGAGUGAGGCAGAGGGAGGCAGAGAAAAAGAGACCCUCACUCGCCGCCACAGCGCCUGUGCACCCCCACAUGCGUGCACCCCUGCACCCCUGCAGGACCCUUCCCACGGGACUUUUCUCCUGACACUAGCGGGGGUCAGCGCCCCCGGCUGCUUCUGUGCCGCUAGAGAAGGCAGACACUCGUGGAAAAAGCAUAUGCACCAGUCUCCUGCGACACACCUGCUGUAACUCUAAUGACAAGGUUAGAACAGAAACCUAAAAUUAAGAAGAUAACAUGUAAAUACUGUGUUAUUUUAGCCUACAGUACAGUAAUCUGGAUACAAAUGAUAAGGGAGAGCCACGUUUCCUUUCCCCCACGCCGCCUCUACUUGCCUACAUUAGACCGGCCUUCAAUGCAAAUCUUAACCUCCUGAGGAAUUAGAGAAGGCUUAGGAAGAGUCAAAGGUGGUUCGUCUUCUGACUUCUCCAGUUUGCGGCUCUCUGGCGCCGACCACCUCCUCUUCCUCGUUGCCGCGGGCUUGCUGGGUUCUAUUUUGGUGAGGAAGGGCGCUGCAGGCAAUCCCAUUUUCUCUGGAAACUUCAGUUCGCCAUUCUCAGAGAGCAUCUGGGCACUCCCCUGGUUGAUUCCGUUUUCCUGCUCGGCAUACCUGUGUCUGCUGCCCGCCAGGCCGUCGGCCUUUGAGUGCUUCAGCAGGACGCUGGCGGGAUCCACGGGCUGGCCCUUUUUAACAGAGCCGUUCUUCAGGUUCUUGAGGGUAAGCGAGAUGCAGACAUCCCCAACUGAGAGUUUGGAACACGGCAAAUCAAAGAGCUGGCUGGUUCUCUCCGGACAGCAGGAUGACCAGCCCUGUCCAAACACAAAAAAAG
RNAcentral lists this long non-coding RNA (7624 nucleotides) under Pan troglodytes (chimpanzee). RNAcentral describes it as "long non-coding RNA NONPTRT014521". Lineage: Eukaryota; Metazoa; Chordata; Mammalia; Primates; Hominidae. The record is from RNAcentral.